GGAUUACAGGCGUGAGCCACUGCACCCGGCCCUGGAUCUUGAGAUGACGUCAUACUGGAUGAUCCUAGUGCACCCUAAAUCCAAUAAGUGUUCUUAUGAAAGACAGAAGAGGAGAAGAUACAGGAAAUAGAAGAAGGCUACUUGAGGAUGGAAGCAGAGAUUGGAGUUAUGCAGCUACAAACCAAAGAAUGCCUUGAGCCACCAGCAGCUGAAAGAGCUAGUCAGCAAUACAACUGGGAUUUGAUAUCAGAUUCAUACGAUUCCGAAGACCCUGACCACCAAAUGCAAAAGGAUAAGAGGGCAUCUCUUCUUCCAUAUUCAUAAAUACGUUGCCAACAGGAAUUUGUUGUUAUUUACACUUUCUUCUCCUAGACAUUUU
Molecule: long non-coding RNA, 379 nt
Filed under: Homo sapiens (human)
Lineage: Eukaryota; Metazoa; Chordata; Mammalia; Primates; Hominidae
Description: HSALNT0351994
Source: RNAcentral